UACGUAGGGUGCAAGCGUUAAUCGGAAUUACUGGGCGUAAAGCGUGCGCAGGCGGUGAUGUAAGACAGUUGUGAAAUCCCCGGGCUCAACCUGGGAACUGCAUCUGUGACUGCAUCGCUGGAGUGCGGCAGAGGGGGAUGGAAUUCCGCGUGUAGCAGUGAAAUGCGUAGAUAUGCGGAGGAACACCGAUGGCGAAGGCAGUCCCCUGGGCCUGUACUGACGCUCAUGCACGAAAGCGUGGGGAGCAAACAGG
This 253-nucleotide ribosomal RNA is filed under the name uncultured bacterium. RNAcentral describes it as "partial 16S ribosomal RNA". It matches the Rfam family "Bacterial small subunit ribosomal RNA", at positions 524 to 776 of the family's 1533-position model. The record is from RNAcentral.